AGGAUGAACGCUGGCGGCGUGCCUAACACAUGCAAGUCGAACGUCCUGUCUCGCAAGAGGCAGGGAGUGGCGGACGGGUGAGUACCACGUGGGUUAUCUACCGUGAGGUGAGGAAUACCGGCGAGAAAUCGCCGACAAGACCGCAUAGGCUCGAUGCAAGUCGAGCAAAGCUCGCUCGCAAGAGGGAGCGCCACACGAGGAGCCUGCGCCCGAUUAGCUCGCUGGUGGAGUAAUGGUUCACCAGGGCGACGAUCGGUAGCUGGUCUGAGAGGACGAUCAGCCACACUGGGAUUGAGAACGGCCCAGACUCCUACGGGGGGCAGCAGUGAGGAAUUUUCGUCAAUGGGGGCAACCCUGAACGAGCAACGCCGCGUGCAGGAAGAAGGUUUUCGGAUCGUAAACUGCUUUUCUCGGGGAAGAGAACGGACGGUACCCGAGGAAGAAGCCCCGGCUAACUACGCGCCAGCAGCCGCGGUAA
Molecule: ribosomal RNA, 478 nt
Filed under: uncultured bacterium
Lineage: Bacteria
Description: SSU rRNA
Rfam family: Bacterial small subunit ribosomal RNA
Source: RNAcentral